RNAcentral lists this ribosomal RNA (506 nucleotides) under uncultured bacterium. Its description in RNAcentral is "partial 16S ribosomal RNA". It matches the Rfam family "Bacterial small subunit ribosomal RNA", at positions 899 to 1397 of the family's 1533-position model. The record is from RNAcentral.
ACUCAAAGGAAUUGACGGGGGCCCGCACAAGUGGUGGAGCAUGUGGUUUAAUUCGACGCUACGCGAAGAACCUUACCCGGGUUUGAAUUGCAAUGGUUGUAGUCAGUAGAGAUAUUGGCGAGUCCGCAAGGACACUGUUGUGAAGGUGCUGCAUGGCUGUCGUCAGCUCGUGCCGUGAGGUGUUGGGUUAAGUCCCGCAACGAGCGCAACCCUUGUCUUUAGUUGCCAGCAAGUAAUGUUGGGCACUCUGGAGAGACUGCCGUCAUAAGACGGAGGAAGGUGGGGAUGACGUCAAGUCAGCAUGGCCCUUACGUCCGGGGCUACACACGUGCUACAAUGGUCGGUACAACGGGCAGCGAGACCGCGAGGUGGAGCGAAUCCCUUUAAAGCCGGCCUCAGUUCGGAUUGUAGGCUGCAACUCGCCUACAUGAAGUUGGAAUCACUAGUAACCGCAGAUCAGCUACGCUGUGGUGAAUGCGUUCCCGGGCCUUGUACACACCGCCCGU